CUCGUCAGAUCUAAGAUUAGCCAUGCAUGUCUCAGUACAGGCUGAAUUAAAGUGAAACCGCGAAUGGCUCAUUAAAUCAGUUAUGGUUUCUUAGAACUAUUCCAAGCUUACUUGGAUAACUGUGGUAAUUCUAGAGCUAAUACAUGCAAACGAAAUUCCUCUCAGAGAUGGGAGGAAUGCUUUUAUUAGAUCAAAACCAAUCGGUGGCGGACGGCUCGCUGUCCGUCCAUCGUCUGUUUUGGUGACUCUGAAUAACUUUACGCCGAUCGCAUGGUCGUCUAGCACCGGCGACGCGUCUUUCAAAUGUCUGCCUUAUCAACUGUCGAUGGUAGGUUCUGCGCCUACCAUGGUUGUAACGGGUAACGGGGAAUCAGGGUUCGAUUCCGGAGAGGGAGCCUGAGAAACAGCUACCACAUCCAAGGAAGGCAGCAGGCGCGCAAAUUACCCACUCCCGGCACGGGGAGGUAGUGACGAAAAAUAACGAUACGGGACUCAUCCGAGGCCCCGUAAUCGGAAUGAGUACACUUUAAAUCCUUUAACGAGGACCAAUUGGAGGGCAAGUCUGGUGCCAGCAGCCGCGGUAAUUCCAGCUCCAAUAGCGUAUAUUAAAGUUGUUGCGGUUAAAAAGCUCGUAGUUGGAUCUGUGUGUCACAGUGUCGGUUCACCGCUCGCGGUGUUUAACUGGCAUUAUGUGAUACGUCCUAUCGGUGGGCUUAGCUCCUCGCGGGCGGUCCAACUAAUCUCCCAUCGCGGUGCUCUUCACUGAGUGUCGAGGUGGGCCGAUACGUUUACUUUGAACAAAUUUAGAGUGCUUAAAGCAAGCUACCUUCGCCUGAAUACUUCGUGCAUGGAAUAAUGGAAUAGGAUCCUCGGGUUCUAUUUUUGUUUGGUUUCGGAGCCUCGGAGGUAAUUGAUUUAUUAGGGACAGAUGGGGGGCAAUUCGUAUUGGCGACGUUAGAGGUGAAUUCUUGGAAUCGUCCGCAAGACGGGACCGAUCGAAGCAUUUGCCAAAUGUUUCAUUAAUCAAGAACGAAGUUAGAGUUCGAAAGCCAUCGAUACGUCUAGUUCUACCAUAUGAGUCCAGCAGCGAUCCCGCAAGUUCUUCGAUGAUCGGCGACACGUUCCGGAACCAAGCUUUUAGAUCGGCAAAAGGGUGCACUGACUUAGGAAUGACGAAGAGCUCACCACGGAUA
This 1193-nucleotide ribosomal RNA is filed under the name Trigona sp. SPKT3. Its description in RNAcentral is "bacterial SSU rRNA". It matches the Rfam family "Eukaryotic small subunit ribosomal RNA", at positions 31 to 1116 of the family's 1831-position model. Lineage: Eukaryota; Metazoa; Arthropoda; Insecta; Hymenoptera; Apidae. The record is from RNAcentral.